UGGGGAAUCUUCCGCAAUGGGCGCAAGCCUGACGGAGCAACGCCGCGUGAGUGAAGAAGGGUUUCGACUCGUAAAGCUCUGUUGUCGGGGACGAAUGUGGAGAUGGUGAAUAAUCAUUUUCAAUGACGGUACCUGACGAGGAAGCCACGGCUAACUACGUGCCAGCAGCCGCGGUAAUACGUAGGUGGCGAGCGUUGUCCGGAAUUAUUGGGCGUAAAGGGAGCGCAGGCGGGAAGGUAAGUCUAUCUUAAAAGUGCGGGGCUCAACCCCGUGAGGGGAUGGAAACUAUCUUUCUUGAGUGCAGGAGAGGAAAGCGGAAUUCCUAGUGUAGCGGUGAAAUGCGUAGAUAUUAGGAGGAAC
This 360-nucleotide ribosomal RNA is filed under the name uncultured Mitsuokella sp. RNAcentral's name for it is "bacterial SSU rRNA". It matches the Rfam family "Bacterial small subunit ribosomal RNA", at positions 355 to 707 of the family's 1533-position model. The record is from RNAcentral. Lineage: Bacteria; Bacillati; Bacillota; Negativicutes; Selenomonadales; Selenomonadaceae.